GAUGAAGAACGUAGCGAAAUGCGAUAAGUAAUGUGAAUUGCAGAAUUCAGUGAAUCAUCGAAUCUUUGAACGCACAUUGCGCCCGCUAGUAUUCUGGCGGGCAUGCCUGUCCGAGCGUCAUUUCAACCCUCAAGCCCCCGGGCUUGGUGUUGGGGAUCGGCGAGCCUCCGCGCCCGCCGUCCCCUAAAUCUAGUGGCGGUCUCGCUGUAGCUUCCUCUGCGUAGUAGCACACCUCGCACUGGGAAACAGCGCGGCCACGCCGUUAAACCCUCAACUUCUGAACGUUUGACUUCGGAUCAGGUAGGAAUACCCGCUGAACUUAAGCAUAUCAAAAGCGGAGGA
This 342-nucleotide unclassified non-coding RNA is filed under the name soil metagenome. RNAcentral describes it as "partial contains 5.8S ribosomal RNA, internal transcribed spacer 2, and large subunit ribosomal RNA". The stretch from base 1 to 120 matches the Rfam family "5.8S ribosomal RNA", at positions 35 to 154 of the family's 154-position model. The record is from RNAcentral.